AUGGCUCCGAUUGGCGUGGGCAGCACCCUCCCCGACGGCCAGCUCGCGUGGUUCGACGAGAGCGAACAGAUGCAGCAGGUCUCCAUCCACUCCCUGGCCGCCGGCAAGAAGGUCAUCCUCUUCGGCGUCCCUGGCGCCUUCACCCCCACCUGCAGCAAUCAGCAUGUACCAGGCUUCAUUACUCAGGCCGAGGAGCUCAAAGCCAAGGGUGUAGAUGAGAUCCUGCUUGUCAGCGUUAAUGACCCCUUUGUCAUGAAAGCAUGGGCGAAGACAUACCCAGAUAACAAGCAUGUGAAGUUCCUUGCUGAUGGAGCGGCAGCAUACACAAAAGCACUUGGUCUUGAGCUUGAUCUUAGUGAGAAAGGAUUGGGUCUCCGUUCGAGGCGGUUUGCUCUCCUUGCUGACGACCUCAAGGUCACCGUCGCAAACGUCGAGGAAGGUGGCCAGUUCACAAUCUCUGGUGCCGAGGAGAUCCUCAAGGCACUGUAG
This 489-nucleotide ribosomal RNA is filed under the name Triticum aestivum (bread wheat). RNAcentral describes it as "partial small subunit ribosomal RNA". Lineage: Eukaryota; Viridiplantae; Streptophyta; Magnoliopsida; Poales; Poaceae. The record is from RNAcentral.